Molecule: ribosomal RNA, 373 nt
Filed under: uncultured organism
Description: bacterial SSU rRNA
Rfam family: Bacterial small subunit ribosomal RNA
Source: RNAcentral
CGUAGGGUGCGAGCGUUGUCCGGAAUUAUUGGGCGUAAAGAGCUUGUAGGCGGUUUGUCGCGUCUGCCGUGAAAAUCCGGGGCUCAACCCCGGACUCGCGGUGGGUACGGGCAGACUAGAGUGUGGUAGGGGAGACUGGAAUUCCUGGUGUAGCGGUGAAAUGCGCAGAUAUCAGGAGGAACACCGAUGGCGAAGGCAGGUCUCUGGGCCACUACUGACGCUGAGAAGCGAAAGCGUGGGGAGCGAACAGGAUUAGAUACCCUGGUAGUCCACGCCGUAAACGUUGGGAACUAGGUGUGGGUCUCAUUCCACGAGAUCUGUGCCGCAGCUAACGCAUUAAGUUCCCCGCCUGGGGAGUACGGCCGCAAGGCUA